Long non-coding RNA from Oreochromis niloticus (Nile tilapia), 354 nucleotides. RefSeq lists it as uncharacterized. The record is from RefSeq and is a predicted model, not a curated record. Lineage: Eukaryota; Metazoa; Chordata; Actinopteri; Cichliformes; Cichlidae. The transcript has 4 exons.
GGUUCUACUGGUGUUACUGGUUCUGCUGGUGAGAAGAAUUGUUCACAGGAAACCUGAAGAUCAAGAAGAAAAUGAGGAAGAUGACAUCAUCACUCAUGUCAUGUACUCUUUUGUCAAAACAUCAAAUUAUCAACAGCCAAUCACACAAAACAGAGACGCUGAUCUAGCUGCAGUUUCUCCAGCUGUGAGAACUGAAGAAGUCAUGAAACAAACAACCAUCAGACCAAGGAGACCCAGACUUUAAAUCAGAGCCAGACGUCGUCUACUCUUCACUGAAGUAGUCCACCAGUCCAACCACUGACGUCCAGCUGCUGGUCUCUAACUGGUCCUCCCAGCACCUCAGACCAGAAGACA